ACGCACGCUGGCGGCGUGCUUCACACAUGCAAGUCGAAUGGAAAGGCCCUGCUUUUGUGGGGUGCUCGAGUGGCGAACGGGUGAGUAACACGUGAGUAACCUGCCCUUGACUUUGGGAUAACUUCAGGAAACUGGGGCUAAUACCGGAUAGGAGCUCCUGCUGCAUGGUGGGGGUUGGAAAGUUUCGGCGGUUGGGGAUGGACUCGCGGCUUAUCAGCUUGUUGGUGGGGUAGAGGCUUACCAAGGCUUUGACGGGUAGCCGGCCUGAGAGGGUGACCGGCCACAUUGGGACUGAGAUACGGCCCAGACUCCUACGGGAGGCAGCAGUGGGGAAUAUUGCACAAUGGGCGGAAGCCUGAUGCAGCAACGCCGCGUGCGGGAUGACGGCCUUCGGGUUGUAAACCGCUUUCGCCUGUGACGAAGCGUGAGUGACGGUAAUGGGUAAAGAAGCACCGGCUAACUACGUG
This 467-nucleotide ribosomal RNA is filed under the name uncultured bacterium. RNAcentral describes it as "partial 16S ribosomal RNA". It matches the Rfam family "Bacterial small subunit ribosomal RNA", at positions 29 to 507 of the family's 1533-position model. The record is from RNAcentral.